RNAcentral lists this ribosomal RNA (666 nucleotides) under Pseudomonas oryzihabitans. Its description in RNAcentral is "bacterial SSU rRNA". It matches the Rfam family "Bacterial small subunit ribosomal RNA", at positions 70 to 731 of the family's 1533-position model. The record is from RNAcentral. Lineage: Bacteria; Pseudomonadati; Pseudomonadota; Gammaproteobacteria; Pseudomonadales; Pseudomonadaceae.
UGAAAGGAGCUUGCUCCUCGAUUCAGCGGCGGACGGGUGAGUAAUGCCUAGGAAUCUGCCUAGUAGUGGGGGACAACGUUUCGAAAGGAACGCUAAUACCGCAUACGUCCUACGGGAGAAAGUGGGGGAUCUUCGGACCUCACGCUAUUAGAUGAGCCUAGGUCGGAUUAGCUAGUUGGUAGGGUAAAGGCCUACCAAGGCGACGAUCCGUAACUGGUCUGAGAGGAUGAUCAGUCACACUGGAACUGAGACACGGUCCAGACUCCUACGGGAGGCAGCAGUGGGGAAUAUUGGACAAUGGGCGAAAGCCUGAUCCAGCCAUGCCGCGUGUGUGAAGAAGGCCUUCGGGUCGUAAAGCACUUUAAGUUGGGAGGAAGGGCUCAUAGCGAAUACCUGUGAGUUUUGACGUUACCAACAGAAUAAGCACCGGCUAACUUCGUGCCAGCAGCCGCGGUAAUACGAAGGGUGCAAGCGUUAAUCGGAAUUACUGGGCGUAAAGCGCGCGUAGGUGGCUUGAUAAGUUGGAUGUGAAAUCCCCGGGCUCAACCUGGGAACUGCAUCCAAAACUGUCUGGCUAGAGUGCGGUAGAGGGUAGUGGAAUUUCCAGUGUAGCGGUGAAAUGCGUAGAUAUUGGAAGGGAACACCAGUGGCGAAGGCGACUACCUG